RNAcentral lists this ribosomal RNA (253 nucleotides) under uncultured bacterium. Its description in RNAcentral is "partial 16S ribosomal RNA". It matches the Rfam family "Bacterial small subunit ribosomal RNA", at positions 524 to 776 of the family's 1533-position model. The record is from RNAcentral.
UACGUAGGGGGCAAGCGUUGUCCGGAAUCAUUGGGCGUAAAGCGCGUGUAGGCGGCCCGAUAAGUCCGCUGUGAAAGUCCAGGGUUCAACCCUGGGAUGCCGGUGGAUACUGUCGGGCUCGAGUCCGGAAGAGGCGAGUGGAAUUCCUGGUGUAGCGGUGAAAUGCGCAGAUAUCAGGAGGAACACCAAAGGCGAAGGCAGCUCGCUGGGACGGUACUGACGCUGAGGUGCGAAAGCGUGGGGAGCGAACAGG